CUUCACCGACCCCAGCCACAACGGCCGUUCGUCAGGCCGGUCCUGCCCGUACGUGGCAAGCAACGCCUGCGCCUC
Molecule: antisense RNA, 75 nt
Filed under: Streptomyces sp. DI166
Lineage: Bacteria; Bacillati; Actinomycetota; Actinomycetes; Kitasatosporales; Streptomycetaceae
Description: ASpks TB sRNA
Rfam family: ASpks TB sRNA
Source: Rfam by way of RNAcentral